This 121-nucleotide ribosomal RNA is filed under the name Demequina salsinemoris. Lineage: Bacteria; Bacillati; Actinomycetota; Actinomycetes; Micrococcales; Demequinaceae. The record is from RNAcentral.
GUUUCCGCAGCCAUAGCGAGAGGGAAACGCCCGGUCCCAUUCCGAACCCGGAAGCUAAGCCUCUCAGCGCCGAUGGUACUGCACUCGCCAGGGUGUGGGAGAGUAGGACGCUGCGGAACAC